CAGCCGCCACGGGAAUACAUAGGGUGCGAGCGUUAAUCGGAAUUACUGGGCGUAAAGCGUGCGUAGGCGGUUUGUUAAGUCUGUUGUGAAAUCCCCGGGCUCAACCUGGGAAUGGCAAUGGAUACUGGCAAGCUAGAGUGUGUCAGAGGAUGGUGGAAUUCCCGGUGUAGCGGUGAAAUGCGUAGAGAUCGGGAGGAACAUCAGUGGCGAAGGCGGCCAUCUGGGACAACACUGACGCUGAGGCACGAAAGCGUGGGGAGCAAACAGGAUUAGAUACCCCCGUAGUCCCUGUCUCUUAUAC
This 301-nucleotide ribosomal RNA is filed under the name uncultured bacterium. Its description in RNAcentral is "partial 16S ribosomal RNA". It matches the Rfam family "Bacterial small subunit ribosomal RNA", at positions 509 to 807 of the family's 1533-position model. The record is from RNAcentral.